AGAGUUUGAUCAUGGCUCAGAUUGAACGCUGGCGGCAUGCUUUACACAUGCAAGUCGAGCGGCAGCGCGGGGGCAACCCUGGCGGCGAGCGGCGAACGGGUGAGUAAUGCAUCGGAACGUACCCUGGAGUGGGGGAUAACGCCGCGAAAGCGGCGCUAAUACCGCAUAUGCUCUGAGGAGGAAAGUGGGGGACCGCAAGGCCUCACGCUCUGGGAGCGGCCGAUGUCGGAUUAGCUAGUUGGUGGGGUAAAGGCCUACCAAGGCGACGAUCCGUAGCGGGUCUGAGAGGAUGAUCCGCCACACUGGGACUGAGACACGGCCCAGGCUCCUACGGGAGGCAGCAGUGGGGAAUUUUGGACAAUGGGCGAAAGCCUGAUCCAGCCAUGCCGCGUGAGUGAAGAAGGCCUUCGGGUUGUAAAGCUCUUUCGGUGGGGAAGAAAUUGCAUAGGCUAAUACCCUGUGUAGAUGACGGUACCUGGAGAAGAAGCACCGGCUAACUACGUG
This 504-nucleotide ribosomal RNA is filed under the name uncultured bacterium. Its description in RNAcentral is "bacterial SSU rRNA". It matches the Rfam family "Bacterial small subunit ribosomal RNA", at positions 8 to 507 of the family's 1533-position model. The record is from RNAcentral.